This is an RNA transcript of Salmo salar (Atlantic salmon), 5084 nucleotides long. It is a transcript of the gene named pleckstrin homology domain-containing family A member 2, with no coding region annotated. The record is from RefSeq and is a predicted model, not a curated record. Lineage: Eukaryota; Metazoa; Chordata; Actinopteri; Salmoniformes; Salmonidae.
UGACAAAUUCAAGAGUUCAUGUCAACGCAGUUCCUCAUACUGUAGCUACUGCAAAAAACGACAAGAGACUAGAUCAUUUCCGGGAUUGGUUCAUUCUAAUCGCGAGCCCUACCAGGAAAGAAGCCUCAGCUGACAGCGGUGUUCGGGUGCCGCAUACAUUUCAGAUAGUAGACAGAUGUCAACUAAGAGUAACAACAGAUUUAAACGAGACGUGUUUUACUCUUUGCGACACUUGGGACGCACGCACACUGAACAGUAAAACGGUGAUAUGUGGUAGCAGGCAGCAGUAUGCCAUACGUGGACAGGCAGAACCGUGUGUGUGGCUUCCUGGACAUUGAGGAGAAGGAGGGCAGCAGUCGCUUCCAGAGACGCUACUUCAUACUGGACACACAGGGCAACACACUGCAGUGGUACAUGGACAACCCCCAGAACCUGCCUAGUGGAGCAAACGCAGUUGGGAUUCUGCAGCUGACGUACAUCUCCAAGGUGAGCGAGGCCACGGGGAAACAGAAGUCCAAGACUGAGUUCUGCUUUGUGAUCAAUGCAGUGUCUCGGCGUUAUUUCCUCCAUGCCAACGAUGCUGCUGACCUGAAAGACUGGGUCCUCGCUCUGAACAAAGCUACCAAGAUCACUGUCCCAAAAGCAGGGCCUCUCCAGCCCAGAUCAGAGGUUUCUACGGUAACCGGUGAGGCAGGGGGUAAGAGGCUGGCCUACAAGACUGAGAUCAUCGGGGGAGUGGUGGUGCACACACCCAUCUACCAGAAUGAGGGGGAGGAGAUGGAGGUAGGGGACAGGAGGGUCUCCUCUGUAGGCAGUAGACCAGGUGUACUGAGGUGUGGCUAUUGUGUCAAACAGGGUAACGUGAGGAAAAGCUGGAAGAGACGUUUCUUCACACUGGACCACAAUGCUGUCAGUUACUACAAGUGUGAGAUGGAUAAGGAGCCUCUGAGAGCUGUUCCUCUGAGAGACAUUCAGAAGGUCCAUGAGUGUCUGGUGAAAUCUGGGGACCUGCUGAUGAGAGAUAACCUGUUUGAGAUCAUCACCAGCUCCAGGGUCUUCUACGUCCAGACAGACACUCCAGAGGACAUGCAGGGCUGGAUCAGAGACAUUGAGUUGAAGAUACAGGACUUCAGAGGCCCUGCCAAGGUAAAGGGUUCUGUAUUUACGUUUGCCUCCUCUCUGUAUCGCCAUGGUAACUCCUCCCACCCACCCUCUGUGUUCCGUGGUCGCCAGGGAGAUGACAGGAGACCCCCACUAGUGAAGUCGUGUUCUGUGGCCCCGGGGUGGCAGCCCUGGACCCCCGUACCCCAAAGAGAGGCUCCCGCUCUGGGCACACUGGACAAGGACAGUCCCUUUAGCAAUCUGCCCUCCAGUCUUUCCUCUCGCUCCACCUCCUCCUCCACCUCCUCAUCUUCAUCCUCCCCCUCCACUCCCACUCUCAUCCCACAGGGGGUCCCAGCUCCAGCCCUAGCCAGUGGUGUGGGGGUCCCAGCCUGCCCUGGCCCCAUAGCUCCAGACCCCUCCAGCAGCCGGAGGAGACACCGCUCUCAGCCUCAGCCCCCCAAAGACCGCAGCUUCCCUUUCAGCCUGGACGAUGAUGGCAUCCGCACCACCGACGUCUAGAACCAACCACGUCUAGAAUCAACCACUUCUAGAAUCACCAAAACUCUGGAUCCAACAAUAUAUAGAACUACCAUCUAGAACCAAUGUGUAGACAAACAAUGACACUUGUUUGAGUGUUUUCUACUGUUGAAAGGCUGAACCUCCCUCCCCCCACCCCCUUCUCCUCUACUCUAAGAGUUUCACAGGCCUGCUGCUGAAGCUACGUCUGCUGUGGGUCUGUUUGCUGAAGUAGCCCUGGUGGGAGAGGGUAGUGAUGUAGACUGGGGUUCCUGGAUGCGUUCUCUCACUGAGGGGUGUGUCAGUAGUGGCUGUGGGCUUUUGGUAUAGAGGGUGACUCAGAGAGAGCAGUGUUGGGCAGACUGGGAGGGGUUAUCAGUAUUAGAGUGUCUGGUGGAAUGUGAAGGAUAUGUUAUAUUUUAUUGUACGAUUUCCUCUUUAAACUUGAAUUUAGUCCACCCAGGUACUGAGAUGAAGGAAGGUGGAUGCUGUGGUGGAGCCUGGUCUGUCUACCGAACACCCUCCACGAGUAUAAGUCAGCUGGUCUUUUGCUUGUAUUAACCAAGGCUACGUCCCAAUUGGCACCCACUUUGGGUCUUGGUCAAAGGUAGUACACUAUAUAAUGAAUAUGGUGCCACUGCCAAUUGGGACCGAACCCAAGGGUCCCAUUCAAUCAAUAACCUGGUCAUGGAACAUGUUAGUGUCUGUGGCUCUGCCUGUUGGUAGACAGUCCUGUUCCCUUGUUAGACUGCAUCCAAUUGCUACAUCAGCAGCACAUUUUGUAUAUACGCUUUUAGCGUAUUUCUGCACGUUCUUCCACAUACCGGAUUCUCUUGCUCAAAUGUAAAUUAUCCACUAUGGUGUUGUGUCAUGUCACAUGUUGUGUUUUCCCUUGCCUGUACCUCACCGACCCAGGUCCAGGUGUGCUUUUCCUUUGCCUGUACCUCACCGACCCAGGUCCAGGUGUGCUUUUCCCCUGCCUGUACCUCACCGACCCAGGUCCAGGUGUGCUUUUCCCUUUCCUGUACCUCACCGACCCAGGUCCAGGUGUGCUUUUCCCCUGCCUGUACCUCACCAACCCAGGUCCAGGUGUGCUUUUCCCCUGCCUGUACCUCACCGACCCAGGUCCAGGUGUGCUUUUCCCCUGCCUGUACCUCACCGACCCAGGUCCAGGUGUGCUUUUCCCCUGCCUGUACCUCACCGACCCAGGUCCAGGUGUGCUUUUCCCCUGCCUGCACCUCACCGACCCAGGUCCAGGUGUGCUUUUCCCCCUGCCUGUACCUCACCGACCCAUGUCCAGGUGUGCUUUUCCCCUGCCUGUACCUCACCGACCCAGGUCCAGGUGUGCUUUUCCCCUGCCUGUACCUCACCGACCCAGGUCCAGGUGUGCUUUUCCCCCUACCUGUACCUCACCGACCCAGGUCCAGGUGUGCUUUUCCCCUGCCUGUACCUCACCGACCCAGGUCCAGGUGUGCUUUUCCCCUGCCUGUACCUCACCGACCCAGGUCCAGGUGUGCUUUUCCCCUGCCUGCACCUCACCGACCCAGGUCCAGGUGUGCUUUUCCCCUGCCUGUACCUCACCGACCCAGGUCCAGGUGUGCUUUUCCCCUCCCUGUACCUCACCGACCCAGGUCCAGGUGUGCUUUUCCCCUGCCUGCACCUCACCGACCCAGGUCCAGGUGUGCUUUUCCCCUGCCUGCACCUCACCGACCCAGGUCCAGGUGUGCUUUUCCCCUACCUGUACCUCACCGACCCAGGUCCAGGUGUGCUUUUCCCCUGCCUGUACCUCACCGACCCAGGUCCAGGUGUGCUUUUCCCCUGCCUGUACCUCACCGACCCAGGUCCAGGUGUGCUUUUCCCCUGCCUGUACCUCACCGACCCAGGUCCAGGUGUGCUUUUCCCUUCUCUUUAAACUUAACCGGUCAUGUUUCUGAUUCUUUACAUAGACUCCUGUUAUAAAUCACAAACAUCAAUAUCUGCUUUGUGUGUGUCAGACAUGGGUUCAAAUACUAUUUAAUGUAUUUUAAUACAUUUUCAAUACAUUUGAAACAUGUAUUCAGAUACCCUUUAUUUGGAGAAAAAAAAACAAGUAGUUGAAAAUUGGAAUGUAUUUCGACAUACACUUGGAAAGUAUUUGAAAAUACUCAAAUACACUCCCAUACAUUUAACCCAGGUAUUUGAAAAUAGUAUUUGAAAUAAGUAUUUGAAUAUACUUUUAAAAUACAAUUUGGUCGACUAUUUGGUUUUUACAAAUAACUCAAAUAAAAGUACCUGUUUUGGGCUGUGUAUUUGAAAAUACUGAAAUACAUAGAAAAAGUAUUUAAAUAACAAAUGCUCAAAUACACAUGUAUUUGAACCCAGAGUGUGUGUGUCUAUCUGUGUGUGUUGGGUUCAUCAUGGUUGACUGGCUGGUCAAACAUUUUAGAAACAGGGUAAUGUUUGUUUUUAAGUUAAGGCAUCUUUGAUAUCUGUAUAUGUUCUUUUAGCAUUUUGCAGUACUGCCAUUCCGGAAAGAGAAUGGUUAAAUUCUCAUGUCUGCUAUUUCUAAUGCAAUUUCAUGUAUUUUGCUCUUCUGGUUACUGUUUUCUCUGAUUAAUUCCUGUGGUACAGUAUUUCAGAUGUAAUGGACUGCCUUCUACCUCGUACCUGGUGUCCACUCACCUACCUGAUCAUAAUGGUGUUGUUUUUUAACUUAGUUGAGAUGAAGUGACCCCAGACCGUCCACCCUGGCCGGCCCCGCCAGAGGCUGUGUUAAGUGAAGUCUUUCACACGUCCAGUGCUGAAACCUGUGACCCAACGCUAACCCAGACCACCCGCCUGGGGACAUGCCUCCUGAGCUCUGUACCAUGGUGUGUGGGACAAAGCUGUGGAGUGCUGGAACACUUGGAACCACUUCCUCCAUACAGACCUAGCGGUUAAGAGCAUUGGACCAGUUACUGGCGUAACCGAAAGGUCGCUGGUUCGAAUCCCAGAGCCGACUACUUGAAAAAUCGAUUGAUGUGCCCUUGAGCAAGCCACUUAACCCUAAUUUCUCCUUUAAGUCGCUCUGGAUAAGAGUGUCUGCUAAAUGACUAAAACUUUUUUUUUUAAAUCACUUGAUAGAGUAAAUGUAGAAGUAAGGAUGGGACAGUGUAGUCCAACCAUGGCCACAAAAAGGCAUGUAUUUUACCUCUGUCUAUGUCUCUCUCAGCUUCUUAGUAAUAUAAUGUUAGUUCUAACAUGGAGGAGAAGUUUGUUUGGUUACUCAGCUUCUAUACUCUCACUGUUGGAGAGUAGAAAACAUGCCUACUGGAGUGACAUGACAUAGGGCCUAUCACAUAGGCCUGACCUAACCUUCCUUCUAUUUAUCUACUGAGAUGAUGUUCUAGAAGUCUUAAGUAAAAGAGAAAUAUGACAAGUUCAAAACAAUCAAAUUCUGUUUGAGAUGAAUAUUUGUGAUAAAGUCAAUAAAUAAUUUGAAUUGA